AUGGCUCCCACAAAGAAGAAGGGUCAUUCUCCCAUCAAUGAGGUGGUGACCUGAGCAUACAAUCAACAUUCACAAGUGCAUCCAUGGAGUGGGCUUCAAGAAGCAUGCCCAUCAGGCACUCAAAGAGAUCUGGAAAUCUGUCAUGAGGGAGAGGGGAACUCCAGAACUGUGCACUGAUAGCAGGCUCAACAAAGCUGUCUGGGCCAAAGGAAUAAGGAAUGUGCCAUACCAUAUCCAUGUGUGGCUGUCGAGAAAACAUAAUAAGGAUGAAGAUCUACCAAAUGAGUUCUACACUUUGGUUACCUAUGCACCUGUUACCACUUUCAAAAAUCUACAGACAGUCAUUGUGGAUGAGAACUAA
RNAcentral lists this long non-coding RNA (361 nucleotides) under Homo sapiens (human). RNAcentral's name for it is "non-protein coding lnc-PLCL2-8:1". The record is from RNAcentral. Lineage: Eukaryota; Metazoa; Chordata; Mammalia; Primates; Hominidae.